AGCAGUGGGGAAUAUUGGACAAUGGGCGAAAGCCUGAUCCAGCCAUGCCGCGUGUGUGAAGAAGGUCUUCGGAUUGUAAAGCACUUUAAGUUGGGAGGAAGGGCAUUAACCUAAUACGUUAGUGUUUUGACGUUACCGACAGAAUAAGCACCGGCUAACUCUGUGCCAGCAGCCGCGGUAAUACAGAGGGUGCAAGCGUUAAUCGGAAUUACUGGGCGUAAAGCGCGCGUAGGUGGUUCGUUAAGUUGAAUGUGAAAUCCCCGGGCUCAACCUGGGAACUGCAUCCAAAACUGGCGAGCUAGAGUAUGGUAGAGGGUGGUGGAAUUUCCUGUGUAGCGGUGAAAUGCGUAGAUAUAGGAAGGAACACCAGUGGCGAAGGCGACCACCUGGACUGAUACUGACACUGAGG
This 409-nucleotide ribosomal RNA is filed under the name uncultured bacterium. RNAcentral's name for it is "bacterial SSU rRNA". It matches the Rfam family "Bacterial small subunit ribosomal RNA", at positions 350 to 751 of the family's 1533-position model. The record is from RNAcentral.